UGGGGUGUCGUCAAGUGGUAAGACAGCAGGUUUUGGUCCUGUUAUUCGUGGGUUCGAAUCCUACCACCCCAA
Molecule: transfer RNA, 72 nt
Filed under: Spirochaetota bacterium
Lineage: Bacteria; Pseudomonadati; Spirochaetota
Description: Spirochaetes bacterium (groundwater metagenome) tRNA-Gln
Rfam family: tRNA
About the family: Transfer RNA (tRNA) molecules are approximately 80 nucleotides in length. Their secondary structure includes four short double-helical elements and three loops (D, anti-codon, and T loops). Further hydrogen bonds mediate the characteristic L-shaped molecular structure. tRNAs have two regions of fundamental functional importance: the anti-codon, which is responsible for specific mRNA codon recognition, and the 3' end, to which the tRNAs corresponding amino acid is attached (by aminoacyl-tRNA synthetases). tRNAs cope with the degeneracy of the genetic code in two manners: having more than one tRNA (with a specific anti-codon) for a particular amino acid; and 'wobble' base-pairing, i.e. permitting non-standard base-pairing at the 3rd anti-codon position.
Source: RNAcentral